This 484-nucleotide ribosomal RNA is filed under the name uncultured bacterium. RNAcentral's name for it is "partial 16S ribosomal RNA". It matches the Rfam family "Bacterial small subunit ribosomal RNA", at positions 28 to 523 of the family's 1533-position model. The record is from RNAcentral.
GACGAACGCUGGCGGCGUGCUUAACACAUGCAAGUCGAACGAUGAAGCCGGAGCUUGCUCUGGUGAAUUAGUGGCGAACGGGUGAGUAACACGUGAGUAACCUGCCCUUGACUCUGGGAUAACUGCGGGAAACUGUAGCUAAUACCGGAUACGACCCUCGGCGGCAUCGCCAAGGGGUGGAAAGAAUUUCGGUCAAGGAUGGACUCGCGGCCUAUCAGCUAGUUGGUGAGGUAACGGCGCAGCAAGGCGACGACGGGUAGCCGGCCUGAGAGGGUGAACGGCCACCCUGGGAAUGAGACACGGCCGAGACUCCGACGGGAGGCAGCAGUGGGGAAUAUUGCACAAUGGGCGCAAGCCUGAUGCAGCAACGCCGCGUGAGGGAUGACGGCCUUCGGGUUGUAAACCUCUUUUAGUAGGGAAGAAGCGAAAGUGACGGUACCUGCAGAAAAAGCACCGGCUAACUACGUGCCAGCCGCCGCCGUAA